AUUGAACGCUGGCGGCAGGCUUAACACAUGCAAGUCGAGCGGGGGAAGGUAGCUUGCUACCGGACCUAGCGGCGGACGGGUGAGUAAUGCUUAGGAAUCUGCCUAUUAGUGGGGGACAACAUCUCGAAAGGGAUGCUAAUACCGCAUACGUCCUACGGGAGAAAGCAGGGGAUCUUCGGACCUCGCGCUAAUAGAUGAGCCUAAGUCGGAUUAGCUAGUUGGUGGGGUAAAGGCCUACCAAGGCGACGAUCUGUAGCGGGUCUGAGAGGAUGAUCCGCCACACUGGGACUGAGACACGGCCCAGACUCCUACGGGAGGCAGCAGUGGGGAAUAUUGGACAAUGGGGGGAACCCUGAUCCAGCCAUGCCGCGUGUGUGAAGAAGGCCUUAUGGUUGUAAAGCACUUUAAGCGAGGAGGAGGCUACUUUAGUUAAUACCUAGAGAUAGUGGACGUUACUCGCAGAAUAAGCACCGGCUAACUCUGUGCCAGCAGCCGCAGUAA
Molecule: ribosomal RNA, 501 nt
Filed under: uncultured bacterium
Lineage: Bacteria
Description: partial 16S ribosomal RNA
Rfam family: Bacterial small subunit ribosomal RNA
Source: RNAcentral